UGGUGUCACACGGGACUGCCGGUCUUAAGCCGGAGGAAGUGGGAUGAUGUCAAGUCAGCAUGGCCUUUAUAUCCUGGGCUACACACACGCUACAAUGGCCAACACAAUAGGUUGCUAAGCCGCGAGGUGGCGCCAAUCCUCCAAAACCGGCCUCAGUUCAGAUUGUAGGCUGCAACUCGCCUGCAUGAAGUUGGAGUUGCUAGUAACCGCGCGUCAGCUAUAGUGCGGUGAAUACGUUCCCGGGGCUU
This 248-nucleotide ribosomal RNA is filed under the name uncultured Bellilinea sp. RNAcentral's name for it is "partial 16S ribosomal RNA". It matches the Rfam family "Bacterial small subunit ribosomal RNA", at positions 1134 to 1382 of the family's 1533-position model. Lineage: Bacteria; Bacillati; Chloroflexota; Anaerolineae; Anaerolineales; Anaerolineaceae. The record is from RNAcentral.